CUUCAAAUUGCAGCUAAUGACAAUAGAAUUUGGUUGGCGAGCUAACUUGUCCACAUCAUCAAUACCAAUAACAUCUAUCUUGUUGUAAACAUAUAUACAUUUCAUGUAUUUGCGGUUACCCUCAAUGACAUCGAUGAGAUCAUCAACUGUGGCAUCCUCACGAAAUAGCACCUCUGCAUUGUGAAUUUUGUAUUCAUGUAAAAUUUGAUAACAGAGCUUCUCAUCUACAUGAGUUAAAGGUAUAGUGCUGUUGAAAGAGAUGCCACCAGUUUUUUUCUUCUUGAAGUAAAUUUGAGGUGGUCUCUUGUUCAAACGCAAACCCACAGCUUCCAGUUCUCUCGUCAAUAUUUGCCGAUGGCCCUCACUUUUUGAGGCAUCGAGAACCAUUAACACUAUGUCUGAAGACUUGGAAACAGC
Molecule: unclassified non-coding RNA, 417 nt
Filed under: Hevea brasiliensis (rubber tree)
Lineage: Eukaryota; Viridiplantae; Streptophyta; Magnoliopsida; Malpighiales; Euphorbiaceae
Source: RNAcentral